GGGUCAGUAGGUUGGUCGUGCCACCGGUACGUACUGGCCUCACUGAUUCCUCCUUCCUGAAGAACCGUAAUGCCAUGAAUUUGGUGUUGCGGGGAAACAGGACUGUUACUUUGAAAAAAUUAGAGUGUUUAAAGCAAGCUAACGCUUGAAUACAUUAGCAUGGAAUAAUGAAAUAGGACGAUCGAUCCUAUUUUGUUGGUUUCUAGGAUUGACGUA
This 216-nucleotide ribosomal RNA is filed under the name Glomeromycotina sp. RNAcentral describes it as "partial small subunit ribosomal RNA". The stretch from base 87 to 216 matches the Rfam family "Eukaryotic small subunit ribosomal RNA", at positions 733 to 864 of the family's 1831-position model. The record is from RNAcentral. Lineage: Eukaryota; Fungi; Glomeromycota.